RNAcentral lists this ribosomal RNA (301 nucleotides) under uncultured bacterium. Its description in RNAcentral is "partial 16S ribosomal RNA". It matches the Rfam family "Bacterial small subunit ribosomal RNA", at positions 509 to 807 of the family's 1533-position model. The record is from RNAcentral.
CAGUAGCCGCGGUAAUACGUAGGUGGCAGGCGUUGUCCGGAAUUAUUGGGCGUAAAGGGCUCGCAGGCGGUUUCUUAAGUCUGAUGUGAAAGCCCCCGGCUCAACCGGGGAGGGUCAUUGGAAACUGGGAAACUUGAGUGCAGAAGAGGAGAGUGGAAUUCCACGUGUAGCGGUGAAAUGCGUAGAGAUGUGGAGGAACACCAGUGGCGAAGGCGACUCUCUGGUCUGUAACUGACGCUGAGGAGCGAAAGCGUGGGGAGCGAACAGGAUUAGAUACCCCAGUAGUCCCUGUCUCUUAUAC